RNAcentral lists this ribosomal RNA (590 nucleotides) under uncultured fungus. Its description in RNAcentral is "eukaryotic LSU rRNA". The stretch from base 228 to 381 matches the Rfam family "5.8S ribosomal RNA". Lineage: Eukaryota; Fungi. The record is from RNAcentral.
CUUGGUCAUUUAGAGGAAGUAAAAGUCGUAACAAGGUUUCCGUAGGUGAACCUGCGGAAGGAUCAUUACAGAGAACAUCGCCCUCACGGGUGACUCUCCAACCCUAUGUUAUCAUACCUUUGUUGCUUUGGCGAGCCGCCUCGGCCACCGGCUCCGGCUGGUGAGUGCUCGCCAGAGGACCCUAAACUCUUGAAUUAAUUAUUGUCUGAGUAAUAUUAAAUUAUUAAAACUUUCAACAACGGAUCUCUUGGUUCUGGCAUCGAUGAAGAACGCAGCGAAAUGCGAUAAGUAAUGUGAAUUGCAGAAUUCAGUGAAUCAUCGAAUCUUUGAACGCACAUUGCGCCCUGUGGUAUUCCGCAGGGCAUGCCUGUUCGAGCGUCAGUACAACACUCAAGCUCAGCUUGGUCUUGAGCCCAGCGGAUCACCCCGCGGGCUUUAAAAUCAGUGGCGGCGCCAUUAGGCUCUCAGCGUAGUAAUACUCCUCGCUCUUGAGUCCUGGUGGCUGCUUGCCAGCAACCCCCAACUUCUAAGUUUGACCUCGGAUCAGGUAGGGAUACCCGCUGAACUUAAGCAUAUCAAUAAGCGGAGGA